AUUGAACGCUGGCGGCAUGCUUUACACAUGCAAGUCGAGCGGCAGCGCGGGCUUCGGCCUGGCGGCGAGUGGCGAACGGGUGAGUAAUACAUCGGAACGUGCCCAGUAGUGGGGGAUAGCUCGGCGAAAGCCGGGUUAAUACCGCAUACGACCUGAGGGUGAAAGCGGGGGAUCUUCGGACCUCGCGCUAUUAGAGGGGCCGAUGGCGGAUUAGCUAGUUGGUGGGGUAAAGGCCUACCAAGGCGACGAUCUGUAGCUGGUCUGAGAGGACGACCAGCCACACUGGAACUGAGACACGGCCCAGACUCCUACGGGAGGCAGCAGUGGGGAAUUUUGGACAAAGGGCGAAAGCCUGAUCCAGCAAUGCCGCGUGUGUGAUGAAGGCCUUCGGGUUGUAAAGCACUUUUGGCUGGAACGAAAAGGACUGUGCCAAUACCACGGUUCGAUGACGGUACCCGCAGAAUAAGCACCGGCUAACUACGUG
This 484-nucleotide ribosomal RNA is filed under the name uncultured bacterium. RNAcentral's name for it is "partial 16S ribosomal RNA". It matches the Rfam family "Bacterial small subunit ribosomal RNA", at positions 29 to 507 of the family's 1533-position model. The record is from RNAcentral.